Molecule: ribosomal RNA, 490 nt
Filed under: uncultured bacterium
Lineage: Bacteria
Description: partial 16S ribosomal RNA
Rfam family: Bacterial small subunit ribosomal RNA
Source: RNAcentral
AUUGAACGCUGGCGGCAUGCCCUACACAUGCAAGUCGAACGGCAGCAUGAUCUAGCUUGCUAGAUUGAUGGCGAGUGGCGAACGGGUGAGUAAUACAUCGGAACGUGCCCUGUAGUGGGGGAUAACUAGUCGAAAGAUUAGCUAAUACCGCAUACGACCUGAGGGUGAAAGUGGGGGACCGCAAGGCCUCAUGCUAUAGGAGCGGCCGAUGUCUGAUUAGCUAGUUGGUGAGGUAAAGGCUCACCAAGGCGACGAUCAGUAGCUGGUCUGAGAGGACGAUCAGCCACACUGGGACUGAGACACGGCCCAGACUCCUACGGGAGGCAGCAGUGGGGAAUUUUGGACAAUGGGCGAAAGCCUGAUCCAGCAAUGCCGCGUGUGUGAAGAAGGCCUUCGGGUUGUAAAGCACCUUUGUCCGGAAAGAAAUGGCUCUGGUUAAUACCUGGGGUCGAUGACGGUACCGGAAGAAUAAGGACCGGCUAACUACGUG